CCUACGGGUGGCAGCAGUGGGGAAUAUUGCACAAUGGGGGAAACCCUGAUGCAGCGACGCCGCGUGAGUGAAGAAGUAAUUCGUUAUGUAAAGCUCUAUCAGCAGGGCAGAAAAUGACGGUACCUGAGUAAGAAGACCCGGCUAACUACGUGCCAGCAGCCGCGGUAAUACGUAGGGGGCAAGCGUUAUCCGGAUUUACUGGGGGGAAAGGGAGCGUAGACGGCAGUGCAAGUCUGGAGUGAAAGGCGGGGGCUCAACCCGCGGACUGCUCUGGAAACUGGACGGCUGGAGGGCAGGAGAGGUAAGUGGAAUUCCUAGUGUAGCGGUGAAAUGCGUAGAUAUUAGGAGGAACACCAGUGGCGAAGGCGGCUUACUGGACUGUAACUGACGUUGAGGCUCGAAAGCGUGGGGAGCAAACAGGAUUAGAUACCCCAGUAGUC
RNAcentral lists this ribosomal RNA (440 nucleotides) under uncultured bacterium. Its description in RNAcentral is "partial 16S ribosomal RNA". It matches the Rfam family "Bacterial small subunit ribosomal RNA", at positions 338 to 795 of the family's 1533-position model. The record is from RNAcentral.